CACAUACUGGCCAUGCGGACACAGUGUGCAAGUGUGCAUAUCCUGGAGAGAAAUAGGAGGGAAUCUGUAGUGGAUUUGAGAGGAAAGUGCACUUCGAAGCACGGGACACCCUGCUGACACUACCUACCGAAUCCGAAGGUGUGUUCCUUCUACUCAGAGCUUUGUCCAUCUCUCAAGGGUUGGUAAAACAGAUUUGACUUGUGGAAAAUUAACUUCAUUGAUUGCCAAUUAAAAUAGACAGGAAUGAUGAGAAAUAAGAAGUGAAAGCAUCUUCUCCCAGGCCCCUGCAGCCCUCUGCACAGAGCUGGAACACCUGCACACAGAUGUACAGUGUGCAACUCAGAGACCAGGGAGAUGGCUACUUCAAUGAGACAGCCACUACUCUGAAACAUGAGAGGGUCCUAGAGGAGGAAAUGAGGUCAUCUUAGAGGCUCUAAGAAUCACUGAAAGUGAGGAGACACUCCUGAGAAAUCAAGGGAGAUGAUGCAGCAAAGUUUUCCAGCUACAGGGAGAAAGAGAAAAUUGGGUAGAUUUUAUUGCAAGUCAGAUAAUCUUUAAAGUUGUUGAACUGAGAAUUAAGAUUAAGUGAAACAACUGCAAAUAAUGUAGGUCAAGGGAACAAGGGAAGAUUGACUUGCGGACAUUUAUAUUUAUAGUUUAUUUUACUCAGUGCACAUCUAACUUUUAUAAGGGUUUCUUAUUUUAUAAUAAAUUUAUUUGUAGAUUUAUUUUUAUCUAUCUACCUCCCUACCUAUCUGUUUAUUUAUUUUCUGAUGAGAAGGUUACUCGUCUUAAAGAAAAUUAUGGCCAG
Long non-coding RNA from Tympanuchus pallidicinctus (lesser prairie-chicken), 811 nucleotides. RefSeq lists it as uncharacterized. The transcript is spliced from 3 exons. The record is from RefSeq and is a predicted model, not a curated record. NCBI's taxonomy places the organism in Eukaryota, Metazoa, Chordata, Aves, Galliformes, Phasianidae.